AUUGAACGCUGGCGGCAGGCCUAACACAUGCAAGUCGAGCGGUAACAGAGAGUAGCUUGCUACUCUGCUGACGAGCGGCGGACGGGUGAGUAAUGCUUGGGAAUGUACCUUAUGGUGGGGGACAACAGUUGGAAACGACUGCUAAUACCGCAUAAUGUCUUCGGACCAAAGCGGGGGACCUUCGGGCCUCGCGCCAUAAGAUCAGCCCAAGUGGGAUUAGCUAGUUGGUGAGGUAAUGGCUCACCAAGGCGACGAUCCCUAGCUGGUUUGAGAGGAUGAUCAGCCACACUGGGACUGAGACACGGCCCAGACUCCUACGGGAGGCAGCAGUGGGGAAUAUUGCACAAUGGGCGCAAGCCUGAUGCAGCCAUGCCGCGUGUGUGAAGAAGGCCUUCGGGUUGUAAAGCACUUUCAGUAAGGAGGAAAGGUUGGAUGUUAAUAGCAUUCAGCUGUGACGUUACUUACAGAAGAAGCACCGCUAACU
RNAcentral lists this ribosomal RNA (484 nucleotides) under uncultured bacterium. Its description in RNAcentral is "bacterial SSU rRNA". It matches the Rfam family "Bacterial small subunit ribosomal RNA", at positions 30 to 502 of the family's 1533-position model. The record is from RNAcentral.